UAAGGAAUAUUGGUCAAUGAGCGCAAGCCUGAACCAGCCAUGCCGCGUGCAGGAAGACGGCCCUAUGGGUUGUAAACUGCUUUUAUCAGGGAAUAAACCCCCGCUCGUGAGCGGGGCUGAAGGUACCUGAAGAAUAAGCAUCGGCUAACUCCGUGCCAGCAGCCGCGGUAAUACGGAGGAUGCAAGCGUUAUCCGGAUUCAUUGGGUUUAAAGGGUGCGCAGGCGGAUUGGUAAGUCAGGGGUGAAAUCCCACAGCUCAACUGUGGAACUGCCUUUGAUACUGUCAGUCUAGAGUAUAGUUGAAGUGGGCGGAAUGUGUCAUGUAGCGGUGAAAUGCUUAGAUAUGUCACAGAACACCGAUCGCGAAGGCAGCUCGCUAAGCUAUAACUGACGCUCAUGCACGAAAGCGUGGGGAUCAAACAG
RNAcentral lists this ribosomal RNA (423 nucleotides) under uncultured bacterium. RNAcentral's name for it is "bacterial SSU rRNA". It matches the Rfam family "Bacterial small subunit ribosomal RNA", at positions 355 to 775 of the family's 1533-position model. The record is from RNAcentral.